Molecule: ribosomal RNA, 465 nt
Filed under: uncultured bacterium
Lineage: Bacteria
Description: partial 16S ribosomal RNA
Rfam family: Bacterial small subunit ribosomal RNA
Source: RNAcentral
CCUACGGGAGGCAGCAGUAGGGAAUCUUCCACAAUGGGCGAAAGCCUGAUGGAGCAACGCCGCGUGGGUGAAGAAGGUCGUCGGAUCGUAAAACCCUGUUGUUAGAGAAGAAAGUGCGUGAGAGUAACUGUUCACGUUUCGACGGUAUCUAACAAGAAAGCCACGGCUAACUACGUGCCAGCAGCCGAGGUAAUACGAAGGUGGCAAGCGUUAUACGGAUUGAUUGGGCGUAAAGGGAACGCAGGCGGUCUUUUAAGUCUGAUGUGAAAGCCUUCGGCUUAACCGGAGUAGUGCAUUGGAAUCUGGUAGACUUGAGUGCAGAAGAGGAGAGUGGAACUCCAUGUGUAGCGGUGAAAUGCGUAGAUAUAUGGAAGAACACCAGUGGCGAAAGCGGCUCUCUGGUCUGUAACUGACGCUGAGGUUCGAAAGCGUGGGUAGCAAACAGGAUUAGAUACCCCUGUAGUC